UACACAUGCAAGUCGAACGGUAACAGGAAGCAGCUUGCUGCUUUGCUGACGAGUGGCGGACGGGUGAGUAAUGUCUGGGAAACUGCCUGAUGGAGGGGGAUAACUACUGGAAACGGUAGCUAAUACCGCAUAACGUCGCAAGACCAAAGAGGGGGACCUUCGGGCCUCUUGCCAUCGGAUGUGCCCAGAUGGGAUUAGCUAGUAGGUGGGGUAAAGGCUCACCUAGGCGACGAUCCCUAGCUGGUCUGAGAGGAUGACCAGCCACACUGGAACUGAGACACGGUCCAGACUCCUACGGGAGGCAGCAGUGGGGAAUAUUGCACAAUGGGCGCAAGCCUGAUG
This 342-nucleotide ribosomal RNA is filed under the name uncultured Shigella sp. RNAcentral's name for it is "bacterial SSU rRNA". It matches the Rfam family "Bacterial small subunit ribosomal RNA", at positions 50 to 388 of the family's 1533-position model. The record is from RNAcentral. Lineage: Bacteria; Pseudomonadati; Pseudomonadota; Gammaproteobacteria; Enterobacterales; Enterobacteriaceae.